UAAGGAAUAUUGGUCAAUGGGCGGAAGCCUGAACCAGCCAUGCCGCGUGCAGGAUGACUGCCCUAUGGGUUGUAAACUGCUUUUGUCCAGGAAUAAACCUUUCUACGUGUAGGAAGCUGAAUGUACUGGAAGAAUAAGGAUCGGCUAACUCCGUGCCAGCAGCCGCGGUAAUACGGAGGAUCCGAGCGUUAUCCGGAUUUAUUGGGUUUAAAGGGUGCGUAGGCGGCCUAUUAAGUCAGGGGUGAAAUACGGUGGCUCAACCAUCGCAGUGCCUUUGAUACUGAUGGGCUUGAAUCCAUUUGAAGUGGGCGGAAUAAGACAAGUAGCGGUGAAAUGCAUAGAUAUGUCUUAGAACUCCGAUUGCGAAGGCAGCUCACUAAGCUGGUAUUGACGCUGAUGCACGAAAGCGUGGGGAUCGAACAGGAUUAGAUACCCUGGUA
RNAcentral lists this ribosomal RNA (440 nucleotides) under uncultured bacterium. Its description in RNAcentral is "bacterial SSU rRNA". It matches the Rfam family "Bacterial small subunit ribosomal RNA", at positions 355 to 792 of the family's 1533-position model. The record is from RNAcentral.